This 66-nucleotide transfer RNA is filed under the name Cichlidarus nyanzae. Its description in RNAcentral is "tRNA-Cys". The record is from RNAcentral. Lineage: Eukaryota; Metazoa; Platyhelminthes; Monogenea; Gyrodactylidea; Gyrodactylidae.
UUAGAGUAGGUAAUUUAUAUUUAUUUUGCAAAAAUAAAUCAGAUACUUUAUUUGUAUCUAUCUAUU